CUGAGCAAUGGCACCUCGCUUCCUGUCCUGGAGGGUCAGUCCCUGGGCCUGGUCUGUGUGACUGACAGCAACUCCCCCGCCUCACUGAGCUGGUCUCAGGAGGGAAGAACACUGAAUCUCUCCCAGCUCUCAGCAACUGGGAUCCUGGAGCUGCCCCAGAAAGGGACUGGAGGUGAAGGCGACCUCACCUGUGAGGCUCAGCACCCACUGGGCUCCCAGCACAUUUCCCUGAGCCUCUCUGUGCAGAGGGAGCUGCUGGACGGAUGUGCGAGUGAAGAUCAGGAGGGCUCCCAGCCCCUGGUUCUCACCUAAUCAAGGGGCGCUCAUGGGCACUGGUUUUUCCUUCACCCGUGGCCUCACCUGGGGCUACUACUCCAGGUGUGGAGGCCCCCAGGGGAGCAGGGCUGAGAGGCCUGACUGA
This 421-nucleotide long non-coding RNA is filed under the name Homo sapiens (human). RNAcentral's name for it is "non-protein coding lnc-SIGLEC9-1:1". The record is from RNAcentral. Lineage: Eukaryota; Metazoa; Chordata; Mammalia; Primates; Hominidae.